AUUGAACGCUGGCGGCAGGCCUAACACAUGCAAGUCGAGCGAGCGGCGGACGGGUGAGGAAUGUCUGGGAAACUGCCUGAUGGGGGGGGAUAACUACUGGAAACGGUAGCUAAUACCGCAUACGAUCAGAUGUGUCCCGAUGGGAUUAGCUAGUAGGUGGGGUAACGGCCCACCUAGGGGACGAUCCCUAGCUGGUCUGAGAGGAUGACCAGCCACACUGGGACUGAGACACGGUCCAGACUCCUACGGGAGGCAGCAGUGGGGAAUUUUGCACAAUGGGCGAAACCCUGAUGCAGCCAUGCCGCGUGUGUGAAGAAGGCCUUCGGGUUGUAAAGCACUUUCAGCGGGGAGGCGUUACCCGCAGAAGAAGCACCGGCUAACUCCGUGCCAGCAGCCGCGGUAAUUC
RNAcentral lists this ribosomal RNA (406 nucleotides) under uncultured bacterium. RNAcentral's name for it is "partial 16S ribosomal RNA". It matches the Rfam family "Bacterial small subunit ribosomal RNA", at positions 30 to 526 of the family's 1533-position model. The record is from RNAcentral.